GGUGGAUGUAGCUCAGUUGGUCAGAGCGUCGGAUUGUGGUUCCGAAGGUCGCCGGUUCGAGCCCGGUCUUCCACCC
RNAcentral lists this transfer RNA (76 nucleotides) under Flavobacteriales bacterium. RNAcentral describes it as "tRNA-His". It matches the Rfam family "tRNA". Rfam says of the family: Transfer RNA (tRNA) molecules are approximately 80 nucleotides in length. Their secondary structure includes four short double-helical elements and three loops (D, anti-codon, and T loops). Further hydrogen bonds mediate the characteristic L-shaped molecular structure. tRNAs have two regions of fundamental functional importance: the anti-codon, which is responsible for specific mRNA codon recognition, and the 3' end, to which the tRNAs corresponding amino acid is attached (by aminoacyl-tRNA synthetases). tRNAs cope with the degeneracy of the genetic code in two manners: having more than one tRNA (with a specific anti-codon) for a particular amino acid; and 'wobble' base-pairing, i.e. permitting non-standard base-pairing at the 3rd anti-codon position. The record is from RNAcentral. Lineage: Bacteria; Pseudomonadati; Bacteroidota; Flavobacteriia; Flavobacteriales.